GGAGGCGCAUCUGGUCUGGUGACCGGCUCGGACUUCAAAUCCGUUGGACCGGGGCGAAAGCUUCGGGUUGGUCGGGUUCGAUUCCCACACGCCUCCGCCA
Molecule: transfer RNA, 100 nt
Filed under: Chloracidobacterium sp.
Lineage: Bacteria; Pseudomonadati; Acidobacteriota; Blastocatellia; Chloracidobacteriales; Chloracidobacteriaceae
Description: tRNA-Sec
Rfam family: Selenocysteine transfer RNA
Source: RNAcentral